UCUACGGCUACCUUGUUACGACUUCACCCCAGUCAUCAGCCCCACCUUCGGCGCCCUCCUCCGCGAACGGUUAGAGUAACGACUUCGGGCGUGGCCAACUCCCAUGGUGUGACGGGCGGUGUGUACAAGGCCCGGGAACGUAUUCACCGCCGUAUGCUGACCGGCGAUUACUAGCGAUUCCUCCUUCAUGCAGGCGAGUUGCAGCCUGCAAUCUGAACUGUGCCUCGGUUUAUGAGAUUAGCUCACUAUCGCUAGUUGGCUGCUCUUUGUCCGAAGCAUUGUAGUACGUGUGUAGCCCAGAACGUAAGGGGCAUGAUGACUUGACGUCAUCCACACCUUCCUCCGAGUUGUCCCCGGCAGUCUCCCCAGAGUGCCCAACUUAAUGAUGGCAACUAAGGACGUGGGUUGCGCUCGUUGCGGGACUUAACCCAACAUCUCACGACACGAGCUGACGACAGCCAUGCACCACCUGUCUCCUCGCUCCCGAAGGCACUCCUCUCUUUCAAAAGGAUUCGAGGGAUGUCAAGCCCUGGUAAGGUUCUUCGCGUUGCAUCGAAUUAAACCACAUACUCCACCGCUUGUGCGGGCCCCCGUCAAUUCCUUUGAGUUUCACACUUGCGUGCGUACUCCCCAGGCGGGAUACUUAUCGCGUUGGCUGCGGUACUGAACGGGUCGAUACGUCCAACACCUAGUAUCCAUCGUUUACAGCUAGGACUACAGGGGUAUCUAAUCCCUUUCGCUCCCCUAGCUUUCGUCCCUCAGCGUCAGUUACGGCCCAGUAGAGCGCCUUCGCCACUGGUGUUCUUCCCAAU
Molecule: ribosomal RNA, 812 nt
Filed under: uncultured bacterium
Lineage: Bacteria
Description: partial 16S ribosomal RNA
Source: RNAcentral